This 502-nucleotide ribosomal RNA is filed under the name uncultured bacterium. RNAcentral's name for it is "partial 16S ribosomal RNA". It matches the Rfam family "Bacterial small subunit ribosomal RNA", at positions 899 to 1397 of the family's 1533-position model. The record is from RNAcentral.
ACUCAAAUGAAUUGACGGGGGCCCGCACAAGCGGUGGAGCAUGUGGUUUAAUUCGACGCAACGCGAAGAACCUUACCUGGGCUCGAACGGCUGCCGAAGGCGACUGGAAACAGUUGCUGUCCCGCAAGGGACGGUAGUCGAGGUGCUGCAUGGCUGUCGUCAGCUCGUGUCGUGAGAUGUUGGGUUAAGUCCCGCAACGAGCGCAACCCUUGUCCUGUGUUGCAACUCCCGCAAGGGGGGCACUCUCAGGAGACCGCCAGCGAUAAGUUGGAGGAAGGUGGGGAUGACGUCAAGUCAUCAUGGCCUUUAUGUCCAGGGCUACACACGUGCUACAAUGGGCGGUACAAACCGUUGCUAACCCGCGAGGGGGAGCUAAUCGGAGAAAACCGUUCUCAGUUCGGAUUGCAGGCUGCAACUCGCCUGCAUGAAGCUGGAAUCGCUAGUAAUGGCAUAUCAGAACGAUGCCGUGAAUACGUUCCCGGGCCUUGUACACACCGCCCGU